RNAcentral lists this unclassified non-coding RNA (326 nucleotides) under soil metagenome. Its description in RNAcentral is "partial contains 5.8S ribosomal RNA, internal transcribed spacer 2, and large subunit ribosomal RNA". The stretch from base 1 to 120 matches the Rfam family "5.8S ribosomal RNA", at positions 35 to 154 of the family's 154-position model. The record is from RNAcentral.
GAUGAAGAACGUAGUGAAAUGCGAUAAGUAAUGUGAAUUGCAGAAUUCAGUGAAUCAUCGAAUCUUUGAACGCACAUUGCGCCCCUUGGUAGUCCGAGGGGCAUGCCUGUUCGAGCGUCAUAUUAACCACUCCCGCUUGCGGGGUCUUGGGCUUCGCCUCCGGGCGGGCCUUAAAAUCAGUGGCGGUGCCGUCGGGCUCUACGCGUAGUAAAUUUUCUCGCGAUAGGGUCCCGGUGGAUGCUUGCCAACAACCCCCAACUUCUUAAGGUUGACCUCGGAUCAGGUAGGGAUACCCGCUGAACUUAAGCAUAUCAAUAAGCGGAGGA